RNAcentral lists this ribosomal RNA (253 nucleotides) under uncultured bacterium. RNAcentral's name for it is "partial 16S ribosomal RNA". It matches the Rfam family "Bacterial small subunit ribosomal RNA", at positions 524 to 776 of the family's 1533-position model. The record is from RNAcentral.
UACGUAGGGUGCAAGCGUUGUCCGGAAUUAUUGGGCGUAAAGAGCUCGUAGGCGGUCUGUCGCGUCGGAUGUGAAAAUCCAGGGCUCAACCCUGGACCUGCAUUCGAUACGGGCAGACUAGAGUUCGGUAGGGGAGACUGGAAUUCCUGGUGUAGCGGUGAAAUGCGCAGAUAUCAGGAGGAACACCGGUGGCGAAGGCGGGAUCCUGGGCCAGUACUGACGCUGAGGAGCGAAAGCGUGGGGAGCGAACAGG